GAUAUGCAUAUACCAUCUGGAGAGCAAAAUUUCAGCUAAUAAGCAUGUCUUUUAUUUGCGAUCAAGCUAAUAAGCAUGUCAGUACAUGCCUUUUUCAUGCCUAAUCCAACUCAAAGACAUAGAAGGUCGAAUGGAAUAAUGUUUGGUCUCGAAUAAGCCUACAAACUAUUGCGGGGUGUUCCUAUCUUCUAUUAUAUUAAUAUAUAAACGAAUUGAAAGGAACCCUGCGUUCACCGAGAGAGCCUAGAAAUUAUGAGAUUAAUUGGGAAAAAGAAAAAGAAAAGUCUAUUGUUACAUUUUAUGAUGAUCUAACUGUCGAGAAUAAAUAGAGUAUCAGAAAAACAAAAUACGCACCCUC
Molecule: long non-coding RNA, 358 nt
Filed under: Sorghum bicolor (sorghum)
Lineage: Eukaryota; Viridiplantae; Streptophyta; Magnoliopsida; Poales; Poaceae
Description: long non-coding RNA (SBIC_LNC017056)
Source: RNAcentral